This is a non-coding RNA of Peromyscus maniculatus bairdii (prairie deer mouse), 513 nucleotides long. The record is from RefSeq and is a predicted model, not a curated record. Lineage: Eukaryota; Metazoa; Chordata; Mammalia; Rodentia; Cricetidae.
CCCCGAAACAUACUAGAUUCAUAAGGCUCCUCCCUUCCCAAGGUUAUGUAAGUGGUAAUGACUGCUGAGGAGAGAUGACUCUUCAAUGUGUUGAGUUGCCUGCAAGUUGUGCAGAGAGUUCCAUAGCUGCAGCUUUUGUGGCCUGGGCUCUGGAAUUCUUAAUUGCUCCUUGAUAGUGCUAAAAAGGCUGAGAGCUGAGAACUGCGUCCUGAGGCCUGUGGAUCACAGAGAGCUGUGAUCCUACCUUGAACCCAGGAGCUAUUAGAUGCCUCAGGAUGUGGGCAUGCUUGAGUGAUCCGGGCCACCCACUUCAUCCCAAGCACAGCCCAAAUUGUUCACAGGCAGGUCUUCCUCUUCAAGGCAUCAGUGAUGGCUUUCAGAAGAACUUCCAGGGUCCUGGGGCCAUACCAGUAACUUCCUAGGCAUCCGAGUCAAGACAAGAUCCAUGGCCUCUGCCUCUCAGGGAAAGUAAAGGGCUACAAAGUCCCCUACUGGUGACAUUCAACAGCCAGC